GUGCACAUUUCCUUGUCAUUUUUAUCAGGAUAAAAAGUAUUUCUGAUGUGCUAAACAACCUUUAGAGGUAAAUCAGCAGCAUGACUAAUUUAGCCAUUGCUGUUAGUCACCUUCAGACAUGU
Molecule: small nucleolar RNA, 122 nt
Organism: Dipodomys ordii (Ord's kangaroo rat)
Lineage: Eukaryota; Metazoa; Chordata; Mammalia; Rodentia; Heteromyidae
Source: Ensembl